UUUUCCCUGGCCUAUCUGGUGGGCGCGGCGAUCAUGCUGAUGGUUGCGGACGCGCGCUUGAUGCUGCCUUUGCUCAUCUGGUUUGUACUCUAUGGGUUUUUGGUGCGCUGGACGAUUCAGCGGGUGGGGC
Molecule: transfer RNA, 130 nt
Filed under: Roseobacter sp. MED193
Lineage: Bacteria; Pseudomonadati; Pseudomonadota; Alphaproteobacteria; Rhodobacterales; Roseobacteraceae
Description: tRNA-Met
Source: RNAcentral